RNAcentral lists this ribosomal RNA (330 nucleotides) under Triticum aestivum (bread wheat). RNAcentral's name for it is "partial small subunit ribosomal RNA". Lineage: Eukaryota; Viridiplantae; Streptophyta; Magnoliopsida; Poales; Poaceae. The record is from RNAcentral.
AUGUUACCGGCACAUAUUUUCGAGUUGAAAAGAGCCGCUGCGAGAGCAGGAGCAUUAACCGCCCUUAUUCGAGCCAAGGCCUGGAUUCCAGACCUUGAAGCGAAGGAUAUCAUUAAAGGAUAUUCAGGCGUUAAAGAAGACAGUUCAAACUUUGACAAUGAUGAUCUUCGACGGCUGACCAAACAGAUGCGGCCAGCGGCCAGCAAAUUGGCUGAGGACACCGAUUUGUCCCAUUUUCAAUCGUUUUAUGAUGCAGAAGGAAAAAGACAGCCGACCGAUAUCCAUGAAGUCGAAGAACUUGUGCCUCCGAUUCCGGCUAGGGAGGGAUGA